RNAcentral lists this ribosomal RNA (573 nucleotides) under uncultured bacterium. Its description in RNAcentral is "bacterial SSU rRNA". It matches the Rfam family "Bacterial small subunit ribosomal RNA", at positions 47 to 620 of the family's 1533-position model. The record is from RNAcentral.
CCUAACACAUGCAAGUCGAACGGGAAGCGGUGCAUAUUGCUUCGGUGAUAAUGUGCCGUGGAGAGUGGCGAACGGGUGCGUAACACGUAGGUAACCUGCCCUGAAAGGGGGGAUAACCACGGGAAACUGUGGCUAAUACCGUAUAAUCUCGCCGUGGCGGUGGUUACGGUGAGGAAAGCUGAGGCGAUUUGGGAGGGGCCUGCGGUCGAUUAGCUGGUUGGUGGGGUAAAGGCCCACCAAGGCGAUGAUCGAUAGCUGUUCUGAGAGGAAGACCAGCCACACGGGAACUGAGACACGGUUCCGACUCCUACGGGGGGCAGCAGUGAGGAAUAUUGCGCAAUGGGGGGAACCCUGACGCAGCAACGCCGCGUGGAGGACGAAGGUUUUCGGAUUGUAAACUCCUUAACUGGGGGAAGAGAGAGGACGGUACCCCAGGACGAAGACACGGCUAACUAGGUGCCAGCAGCCGCGGUAAUACCUAGGUGUCGAGCGUUAUCCGGAAUUACUGGGCGUAAAGGGGUGCGCAGGCGGUGUUACAAGUCCGGCGUGAAAGCUUCUGGCUUAACUGGGAAG